Molecule: microRNA, 17 nt
Filed under: Homo sapiens (human)
Lineage: Eukaryota; Metazoa; Chordata; Mammalia; Primates; Hominidae
Description: hsa-miR-4319
Source: miRBase by way of RNAcentral
UCCCUGAGCAAAGCCAC